Molecule: long non-coding RNA, 587 nt
Filed under: Musa acuminata (dwarf banana)
Lineage: Eukaryota; Viridiplantae; Streptophyta; Magnoliopsida; Zingiberales; Musaceae
Description: long non-coding RNA (MACU_LNC004516)
Source: RNAcentral
UUGGAUUCAUAUUGAAAGUACUCAUAUUCGACCCAUAGGCAAGUGUGCCAAACCACUGCCUUGCUUCUCUCUCUGAGUCAUGUGAAACAAAAGGAACUGUAGCUAUUAUGCAUAGACGUGGACUAGCCCAACAUCACCAGCGUCAGCAGUCUUCUCACAUCACAGCGGUCAACUGGUCCAAAGCUGGACCAUAGGUGUCUCUAUUGAGGUUAUCUCCAUUGCAAGCCACACAAUGGCAUGAUGGGUUAACCUAAGGUCCUUCUUCUUCCCCGAAUCCCUUCCGUUAGAAGACACUUGUGGCUCCCUGACAAACUGGUCGCUUGGUGCUGAGCUGCGACAACUUUAGUUGACUUGAAUACUGAUCCACCGUUAGUCAACCUAUUGGUGGAUACAGAUCCCAGGUCGGCAGUAUGGUGCUACAUGUUUCCCGGAGGAAAUGACAUGUUUGUGGUCAUCUCCUACCUGUAGAGAAGGAAUUAAGUGCGUCAGAAGGUUCAGCUGGUAGCAUUGAAUUGGGUAUUCUAGAAAGAGAAAUGAUAUGACCAUAGCAAAACUCGGUGUCUUAUGAAUCAGAUAAAAGAAGAUAU